UACGGGGGGGGCAAGCGUUGUUCGGAAUUACUGGGCGUAAAGGGCUCGUAGGCGGCCAACUAAGUCAGACGUGAAAGCCCCGGGCUUAACCUGGGAACUGCGUUUGAUACGGAUGGGCUAGAGUUCGGGAGAGGAGAGUGGAAUUCCCAGUGUAGAGGUGAAAUUCGUAGAUAUUGGGAAGAACACCGGUGGCGAAGGCGGCUCUCUGGACCGAGACUGACGCUGAGGCGCGAAAGCGUGGGGAGCAAACAGG
This 253-nucleotide ribosomal RNA is filed under the name uncultured bacterium. RNAcentral describes it as "partial 16S ribosomal RNA". It matches the Rfam family "Bacterial small subunit ribosomal RNA", at positions 524 to 776 of the family's 1533-position model. The record is from RNAcentral.